Molecule: ribosomal RNA, 472 nt
Filed under: uncultured bacterium
Lineage: Bacteria
Description: partial 16S ribosomal RNA
Rfam family: Bacterial small subunit ribosomal RNA
Source: RNAcentral
GAUGAACGCUGGCGGCGUGCUUAACACAUGCAAGUCGAACGCUGAAGCUUGGUGCUUGCACUGGGUGGAUGAGUGGCGAACGGGUGAGUAAUACGUGAGUAACCUGCCUUUGAGUCUGGGAUCAGUUUGGGAAACUGGGUCUAAUACUGGAUAUGACAUGGCACUGCAUGGUGGUGUGUUGAAAGGGGUUUUUGGGGUUUGGAUUGGCUCGCUGCGUAUCGGCUUGUUGGGGAGGUAAUGGCAUACCUUGGCGAGGACGGAUAGCCCACCCGAGAGCGUGACCAGCCACACGGGGCCUGCGACAGGCACCAGAAUGCUACCGGCGGCAGCAGUGGGGAACAUGACAGAACGACCGGGCGCCUGAUACGACGACCCCGCGUGCGGGAUAACCGCCUACGGGGUAUAAACCUCUUUCAGAACGACAGAGGCGAGAGUGACGGUACGUACAGAAAAAGCGACGGCUAACUACGUG